CACAAUUUAUGAGUCUGGUGAAGAGGAAACAUGAGGAUCCUAUACCUGAAACUUAUCAUUAAGUAAGAUUGAAAAGUAAGUUAAGAUUCAAUGACACCAGUUCUAAACUGCUUUCAUCAUUUCGAUAUUUUUUCUUCAGAAAAAUAGUUUUCCAAAAUGUAAGAAGUAUGCUAUCUUUGGUAACUCUUGCUAGAACUUGAUACUGUUGAGCC
RNAcentral lists this long non-coding RNA (212 nucleotides) under Mytilus galloprovincialis (Mediterranean mussel). The record is from RNAcentral. Lineage: Eukaryota; Metazoa; Mollusca; Bivalvia; Mytilida; Mytilidae.